GGCCAAACAUUAUUUAUCUGGACAUACAUUGUCUAUACUACAAUGCACCAGGUGAUCCACUGGCCAGAAUACAAGAUCAGCACAUAUGGGCCAUGACAAAUGGAUGGCGCAAAGGAGAUUAAAACUACUACAACGACAUAAAUUGGACUUAAUUCAUUGAGAACAUAUCACUUAGAAUAGCUAAUUCAACUAAAAGCACCUAAGAAGGGCUUAUUUCAAUCCACACAGGAACGCCAGAAUUGGCAAUAGUUUUAAUAAAAAUGAGAUAUAUCCUCUCCAAAAUGUCACUCUGAUACAAUUCCAUCUUAAUGAAGCUCUCUGUCCAGAGCCUUCGCUAAUUGAGAUCAGGUUUAGCUCACAAGAACAAACAGUGGCUUAUCUCCUAAGCGCUCACGGCCCUUCAAUUCUGGCAACUCAAUGACGCAUGCGCAUUCGACUACCUCAACUCCAACACGCUCAAGAAGCCUAAUCGCAGCACUUAGAGUCCCUCCAGUCGCAAUUAGAUCAUCUACCACGAGGGCACGUUCACCAGCUUGCACAGCACCUACAUGCAUCUCAAUCUUGUCUGUUCCAUACUCCAAAGAGUACUCUUCUGAAAUAACCUCCCCAGGUAACUUCUUGGGUUUCCUCAUGGGGACAAAUUUUGCUCCAAUAGCCAAU
RNAcentral lists this unclassified non-coding RNA (660 nucleotides) under Hevea brasiliensis (rubber tree). The record is from RNAcentral. Lineage: Eukaryota; Viridiplantae; Streptophyta; Magnoliopsida; Malpighiales; Euphorbiaceae.